Molecule: long non-coding RNA, 766 nt
Filed under: Mytilus galloprovincialis (Mediterranean mussel)
Lineage: Eukaryota; Metazoa; Mollusca; Bivalvia; Mytilida; Mytilidae
Source: RNAcentral
GUGGAAAUUACCAAAAUGCUAAUUUCACUAAUAUUGGUUCUUUUGUCGUGCCCAGCUCUUAAUAAUCACAGUAACAUUCCAUUAAAUGGACUGGAGAAGUCUUGAUUACAAUAAUCAUAUUGCUUUUUACUUUUCAACACUAUUGGAUCUUGUGUCAUACCAUCUUUAGAUGGUGGAUGGAGUAUAUGGAGGUGUUCCUGCUACCUCUCUAUAUGUAGACAACGUCACUGUUGUUGUGAGGUUCUUAUUUCUAAGCCUUAAUGUAUGUCCGUUACAGCGCCCUUAGGGAGCAAAACGUGGCAGAUAUUACUACACCCUCAAAUUUAAAUGGACUGUAGAAGUCAAGAUUACAAUAAUGAUACUUUCAGCACCAUUGCACGGUUUGGUUGUCUUGCCCAGCUCUUAAUGGUCCAAAAUGCUGUACAAUGGGUUAUGUUUUAAAAAUUGAAGAUAAAAGAUUAAGUUUUGAAUAUCUUCUUUUUUUCUCUGAAGAUGGCAAAUCAAAUUAUUAAUUCACGAGCUCUAGAUAAUAAAAAUAUCAGGUGUUAAAGUUUGGAGGUAUAAACAAGUCAUUCUCAAUCAAAAUAUUGCAAAAUUGUAAUGUUAGUGGAUUUUCUCAUUGUUGAAGCCCAUACAGUAACCUAUUUUACAUUAACAUCAUUUGGUCUCUGUAGGAUAGUUGUCUCACAUCUCUUGAUAUCACAACAAAUCAAUUUGUAGGUUCUAUAAAGUGGUCCAAUCCUAUGGUGAAGGGAGGGGAAAUUUU